GCUGGCGGCGUGCUUAACACAUGCAAGUCGUACGAGUAACACCUUAGCUUGCUAGGGUAAGUAAAGUGGCGCACGGGUGAGUAACGCGUGGGUAAUCUACCUUCGAAUUGGGGAUAACGUUGCGAAAGCGACGCUAAUACCGAAUAACAUCCAUUAAUCUUCGGAUUUUUGGAUCAAGGGUGGCCUCUACAUGUAAGCUACUGUUUGAAGAUGAGCCCGCGUACCAUUAGCUUGUUGGUGGGGUAACGGCCUACCAAGGCGUCGAUGGUUAGCUGGUCUGAGAGGAUGAUCAGCCACACUGGAACUGACACACGGUCCAGACUCCUACGGGAGGCAGCAGUGAGGAAUUUUGCGCAAUGGGGGAAACCCUGACGCAGCAACGCCGCGUGAGUGAUGAAGGCUUUCGGGUCGUAAAGCUCUGUCAAGUGGGAAGAACCUGCAGUAUGCCAACAUCAUAUUGCACUGACGGUACCACUGAAGGAAGCACCGGCUAACUCCGUGCCAGCAGCCGCGGUAAUACGGGGGGUGCAAGCGUUAUUCGGAAUCAUUGGGCGUAAAGAGCACGUAGGCGGCCUGGUAAGUCAGAUGUGAAAGCCCGGGGCUUAACCCCGGAAGUGCAUUUGAUCUG
RNAcentral lists this ribosomal RNA (628 nucleotides) under uncultured Desulfosarcina sp. RNAcentral's name for it is "bacterial SSU rRNA". It matches the Rfam family "Bacterial small subunit ribosomal RNA", at positions 35 to 635 of the family's 1533-position model. Lineage: Bacteria; Pseudomonadati; Thermodesulfobacteriota; Desulfobacteria; Desulfobacterales; Desulfosarcinaceae. The record is from RNAcentral.